This 397-nucleotide ribosomal RNA is filed under the name uncultured bacterium. RNAcentral's name for it is "bacterial SSU rRNA". It matches the Rfam family "Bacterial small subunit ribosomal RNA", at positions 355 to 767 of the family's 1533-position model. The record is from RNAcentral.
UGGGGAAUAUUGCACAAUGGGCGAAAGCCUGAUGCAGCGACGCCGCGUGAGUGAAGAAGGCCUUCGGGUCGUAAAACUCUGUCCUUGGUGAAGAAAAAAAUGACGGUAGCCAAGGAGGAAGCCCCGGCUAACUACGUGCCAGCAGCCGCGGUAAUACGUAGGGGGCGAGCGUUGUCCGGAUUUACUGGGCGUAAAGGGUGAGUAGGCGGUUGUAUAAGUCAGAUGUAAAAGGCACAGGCUUAACUUGUGUAAGCAUUUGAAACUGUACAACUUGAGUGCAGGAGAGGUAAGUGGAAGUCCUAGUGUAGCGGUGAGAUGCGUAGAUAUUAGGAGGAACACCUGUGGCGAAGGCGACUUACUGGACUGUUACUGACGCUGAGUCACGAAAGCGUGGGUA